GGUCUUCAACAGAAGGGACCACACUUUGGUGAGAGCCUGAAAGGUUAGCAACCUAUAGCUAGGCUUGUAAACAGAAACCCCAAGAAUGGGAUUCCCCACGGCAGCCAGGAACCCCUACAGCCUGCAAGGCUUCCUCAAAUGAUUGAUGGUCUCCAUGGCAACCAUGGAAGUCCUGAUCACCUGAAUUCUCUACUCCCGCCGCUCAGCCAGCUUGCAGGACAGUCAGGACUGCACGGAGCCCUCUGGGAUCCCUGAACAAAGGUUAUUUUGAAACAGCUUACGCGGCCAGGAGCAGGUACACCUGGACAUGGGGGUCCCUGAAGGCAGCUGUGGUCCAGCCUCAUGACUGUGAGGAGAGUGGACAGGGAGAGUCCUCAGGGCUGGCCAGCAGUCAUCCUCCACCUCUACUGUGAAGAGAGGACAGCAAGAGCAAUUGUGUCCACAUGGAGCUGUUGAAUCCCUCCUCUUUCUCAGAACCAAGAAACUCCCAUGUACUCUGUCUGGCAUAGGUCCAGUAGGAAUACUACCAUAAGUUAAUCGAAAGCUUUAAGAAGUGAGUGCUGAAAAUGACUUUGGAUGACAUUUAUCAGAUGGGAAAACGCACACAGAGAGACACACACAACACACACAUACACAUGUGCAUGCACACACACCAAUGACAGGGCAUUUACUAUAUAUCAGGUACAAUACCAAGCUCUUUUCAUACAUCAUCUCGCUUAUAAUCCUGUGGGUGGUAUUAUCAUCCUCAUUUUACAGAUGAGGAGACCUGCCUCCCAGGUCAUUUACGUAGUGGAGCUGGGGUGCCAGUGCAGACUGUCUUCCUUUCUGCUCUCCACUACCCUCCAAGACACCAGACUAGUCCAGAAAAUGAGGCACAGUCCUGAGAUAAAGUCAAAGCCUUGGAAGCAGUCAGGGCAUUUCACUUCAGGGCCCCAGAGUAUGGGGGAUGGUGGCUGUCUGAGGCACGAGGCUUCAGACAUGGUGUAUUAGUCCGUUUUUACACUGCUAUAAAAAAAUAGGCAAGACUGGGUAAUUUGUAAAGGAAAGAGGUGUAAUUGACUCACAGUUUCACAUGGCUGGGGAGUCCUCAGG
Long non-coding RNA from Piliocolobus tephrosceles (Ugandan red Colobus), 1092 nucleotides. RefSeq lists it as uncharacterized. The record is from RefSeq and is a predicted model, not a curated record. Lineage: Eukaryota; Metazoa; Chordata; Mammalia; Primates; Cercopithecidae. The transcript has 3 exons.